Molecule: ribosomal RNA, 371 nt
Filed under: uncultured Glomeromycotina
Lineage: Eukaryota; Fungi; Glomeromycota
Description: eukaryotic LSU rRNA
Source: RNAcentral
UUGAAAGGGAAACGAUUGAAGUCAGUCGUACCGACGAGAAAUCAGCUUAUCGUGUGUGAACUUGUGGGCGUGCGUGAGUUUCGGCCUCGCUGUUUGCAUGUUCGUGCGCUUUGGGUGUACUUUUUCGUAUGGUAGGCCAACAUCAGUUUCGAUUACUAUAAAAUGACUGGCGGAAUGUAGCUUCGAUUUCGGUUGAAGUGUUAUAGCCUCUGGUAGAUGUGGUGAUUGGGACUGAGGAUUGCAACGAAUAUCCUUUGGGCUAUCCGCCUGGCCUCUGAAAGUUGCUUGGGUGCUGAAAGUUUGCUUAUGGUUAUCUAAGUUAACGGUCAAUAGGUUAGAACGUGAUUACAUUCGUUAAGGAUGUUGACGUA